AGUGAACGCUGGCGGUAGGCCUAACACAUGCAAGUCGAACGGCAGCACAGUAAGAGCUUGCUCUUACGGGUGGCGAGUGGCGGACGGGUGAGGAAUACAUCGGAAUCUACUUUUUCGUGGGGGAUAACGUAGGGAAACUUACGCUAAUACCGCAUACGACCUACGGGUGAAAGCAGGGGAUCUUCGGACCUUGCGCGAUUGAAUGAGCCGAUGGCGGAUUAGCUAGUUGGCGGGGUAAAGGCCCACCAAGGCGACGAUCCGUAGCUGGUCUGAGAGGAUGAUCAGCCACACUGGAACUGAGACACGGUCCAGACUCCUACGGGAGGCAGCAGUGGGGAAUAUUGGACAAUGGGGGCAAGCCUGAUCCAGCCAUACCGAGUGGGUGAAGAAGGCCUUCGGGUUGUAAAGCCCUUUUGUUGGGAAAGAAAAGCAGCAGGUUAAUACCCCGCUGUUCUGACGGUACCCAAAGAAUAAGCACCGGCUAACUUCGUG
Molecule: ribosomal RNA, 492 nt
Filed under: uncultured bacterium
Lineage: Bacteria
Description: partial 16S ribosomal RNA
Rfam family: Bacterial small subunit ribosomal RNA
Source: RNAcentral